GGGGCGUAGCUCAGCUGGUUAGAGCGCUGGCCUGUCACGCCAGAGGUCGCGGGUUCGAGUCCCGUCGCUCC
Molecule: transfer RNA, 71 nt
Filed under: marine eukaryotic metagenome
Rfam family: tRNA
About the family: Transfer RNA (tRNA) molecules are approximately 80 nucleotides in length.
Source: RNAcentral